AAAUUGAAGAGUUUGAUCAUGGCUCAGAUUGAACGCUGGCGGCAGGCCUAACACAUGCAAGUCGAACGGUAACAGGAAGCAGCUUGCUGCUUCGCUGACGAGUGGCGGACGGGUGAGUAAUGUCUGGGAAGCUGCCUGAUGGAGGGGGAUAACUACUGGAAACGGUAGCUAAUACCGCAUAAUGUCGCAAGACCAAAGAGGGGGACCUUCGGGCCUCUUGCCAUCGGAUGUGCCCAGAUGGGAUUAGCUUGUUGGUGGGGUAACGGCUCACCAAGGCGACGAUCCCUAGCUGGUCUGAGAGGAUGACCAGCCACACUGGAACUGAGACACGGUCC
This 335-nucleotide ribosomal RNA is filed under the name Escherichia coli. RNAcentral's name for it is "bacterial SSU rRNA". It matches the Rfam family "Bacterial small subunit ribosomal RNA", at positions 1 to 332 of the family's 1533-position model. Lineage: Bacteria; Pseudomonadati; Pseudomonadota; Gammaproteobacteria; Enterobacterales; Enterobacteriaceae. The record is from RNAcentral.